UCAGAGACUGGUUGUUAGUCUAAAACAACCUUAACAAGUCAGAGGUCCCAUAUUGCUCAGGUAAUAGGUUUUUGUGUGGAUUGAGUGGCCGAGGAUUUCACUAUCUCUCUCUAUAUAAGGAUGAACUCGAUAUGCUCUCUUGUUUAUGUGGAGGUGAAACUGCUUUUCAUGAAGAUGUUGAUCAAGGGACAUGGGAAACAAUUAUUUUACGAUUUUCUUUGUAAAUUUGCCGAAGAAAGCGACAUCUCCUACAAUGUUACAAUGAUUGACUUUUGCUGAUGUAUUAACUUGUGUAUAAUGAUAUAUGUCAAUCUUCGGAAGUUGCUUGUAUAAAUCAAUUGUAUACACAUGUACAUAUAUGUCUUUAUGUAAAUUAUUGCUUUAGGUAAUCAUCUUGAUUAAAGUAAUUGUAUAUACAUUUA
Molecule: long non-coding RNA, 422 nt
Organism: Haliotis rubra (blacklip abalone)
Lineage: Eukaryota; Metazoa; Mollusca; Gastropoda; Lepetellida; Haliotidae
Exons: 2
Source: RefSeq, a predicted model, not a curated record